Molecule: ribosomal RNA, 497 nt
Filed under: uncultured bacterium
Lineage: Bacteria
Description: partial 16S ribosomal RNA
Rfam family: Bacterial small subunit ribosomal RNA
Source: RNAcentral
GAUGAACGCUGGCGGCGUGCCUAAUACAUGCAAGUCGAGCGAACAGACGAGGAGCUUGCUCCUCUGACGUUAGCGGCGGACGGGUGAGUAACACGUGGAUAACCUACCUAUAAGACUGGGAUAACUUCGGGAAACCGGAGCUAAUACCGGAUAAUAUAUUGAACCGCAUGGUUCAAUAGUGAAAGACGGUUUUGCUGUCACUUAUAGAUGGAUCCGCGCCGCAUUAGCUAGUUGGUAAGGUAACGGCUUACCAAGGCAACGAUGCGUAGCCGACCUGAGAGGGGGAUAGGCCACACUGGAACGGAGAAACGGUCAAGACUCCUACGGGAGGAAGCAGUAGGGAAUCUUCCGCAAGGGGCGAAAGCCUGACGGAGCAACGCCGCGUGAGUGAUGAAGGUCUUCGGAUCGUAAAACUCUGUUAUUAGGGAAGAACAAAUGUGUAAGUAACUAUGCACGUCUUGACGGUACCUAAUCAGAAAGCCACGGCUAACUACGUG